RNAcentral lists this ribosomal RNA (527 nucleotides) under uncultured bacterium. Its description in RNAcentral is "bacterial SSU rRNA". It matches the Rfam family "Bacterial small subunit ribosomal RNA", at positions 984 to 1509 of the family's 1533-position model. The record is from RNAcentral.
ACAUCCAGCGAACUUGGCAGAGAUGCCUUGGUGCCUUCGGGAACGCUGAGACAGGUGCUGCAUGGCUGUCGUCAGCUCGUGUUGUGAAAUGUUUGGGUUAAGUCCCGNAACGAGCGCAACCCUUUAUCCUUUGUUGCCAGCGAUUCGGUCGGGAACUCAAAGGAGACUGCCGGUGAUAAACCGGAGGAAGGUGGGGAUGACGUCAAGUCAUCAUGGCCCUUACGAGUAGGGCUACACACGUGCUACAAUGGCGCAUACAAAGAGAAGCGACCUCGCGAGAGCAAGCGGACCUCAUAAAGUGCGUCGUAGUCCGGAUCGGAGUCUGCAACUCGACUCCGUGAAGUCGGAAUCGCUAGUAAUCGUGGAUCAGAAUGCCACGGUGAAUACGUUCCCGGGCCUUGUACACACCGCCCGUCACACCAUGGGAGUGGGUUGCAAAAGAAGUAGGUAGCUUAACCUCCGGGAGGGCGCUUACCACUUUGUGAUUCAUGACUGGGGUGAAGUCGUAACAAGGUAAGCGUAGCGAG